Molecule: non-coding RNA, 967 nt
Organism: Physcomitrium patens
Lineage: Eukaryota; Viridiplantae; Streptophyta; Bryopsida; Funariales; Funariaceae
Source: RefSeq, a predicted model, not a curated record
CAUCGGACCAAACACAGCGUAGCAAGGGACGUGGACCUGGGCUUCGGGUGCCGAGCUGGACUGCACCAUCAAGUUGUUGAUCUUGCUAGUUGUGGCGGUGAAUCCAUGGCACAAGCACAAGCAACUUGUGCACCCGCGGCCAACAUGCUACGACACAGCGAGACGAAGACGAAGAUGACGACGACAAUGAAGAGAAGGAGUAGCGCAGAGCUGCAGAACAUGAGGUGUUUAACAAUCGUCACUUAUUGCACUUCGGCAACGUGAUUCCACUGCUGUCUGCCAGGUAUCGUUUACCGGAGAGAAGGUCCCCUCCACUUGGUGAUGUAACUUGUUCCAGGGCUUCGACACGACCGACACUUCCCUCCCACUUCCAACGAGCACAUAGACUUUGUUGGUGAUUGUUGAAGUCGUUUGAAAUCGAUGACUCACGCAAAAAUAAAUAAAUAAAUAAAAAUCCGGUGAAUAGUCUCUGCUAUCAUCCAACUGGUCAAUUAACUGGGGUAGAUACCCUGUCCACGUGUUGAAGCAGCGUUCCAUCUCAUACAUGUGAAUGCAUUCAAUCACGGAUGACCACUUCAAUCGGUGAGGAAGACAACUCGGUCGACUCGGUUUCACUUGUAUUCCAUGCUCAAUCCGCCAGUUUGGCAGCAUAAUGAAUAAAUCACUUUGAGGUGGUGGUACUGGGAGAAUUAUACUGUAUAGUACACUAGUCUCUUAUAUAGAAUACUAUCUACUUUGUAUUGACAUUACACCAAGCUGGUGGUAUUGGGAGAAUUAUACUAUAUAGUACACUAGUCUUCUAUAUAGAAUACUAUCUACUUGUGAAUGCAUUCAAUCACGGAUGACCACUUCAAUCUGUGAGGAAGACAACUCGGUCUACUCGGUUUCACUUGUGUUCCAUGUUCAGUCCGCCAGUUUGGCAGAGUAAUGAAUAAAUCACUUUGAGGUGGUGGUACUUGGAGAAUUA